Molecule: ribosomal RNA, 273 nt
Filed under: uncultured prokaryote
Description: partial 16S ribosomal RNA
Rfam family: Bacterial small subunit ribosomal RNA
Source: RNAcentral
UACGAGUGGAGCGAGCGUUGUUCGGAAUCACUGGGCGUAAAGCGUGCGCAGGCGGUCAUGUAAGUCGGGAGUGAAAUCCCAGGGCUUAACCCUGGAAUUGCUCUCGAAACUGCGUGACUCGAAUCCCGGAGAGGUUGGCGGAAUUCUCAGUGUAGAGGUGAAAUUCGCAGAUAUUGAGAGGAACACCAGUGGCGUAAGCGGCCAACUGGACGGGUAUUGACGCUCAGGCACGAAAGCGUGGGGAUCAAACAGGAUUAGAUACCCUAGUAGUCC